Molecule: ribosomal RNA, 384 nt
Filed under: uncultured microorganism
Description: bacterial SSU rRNA
Rfam family: Bacterial small subunit ribosomal RNA
Source: RNAcentral
GAGUUUGAUCUUGGCUCAGAUUGAACGCUGGCGGCAUGCCUUACACAUGCAAGUCGAACGGCAGCAUGAUCUAGCUUGCUAGAUUGAUGGCGAGUGGCGAACGGGUGAGUAAUACAUCGGAACGUGCCCUGUAGUGGGGAUAACUAGUCGAAAGAUUAGCUAAUACCGCAUACGACCUGAGGGUGAAGGUGGGGGACCGGCAAGGCCUCAUGCUAUAGGAGCGGCCGAUGUCUGAUUAGCUAGUUGGUGGGGUAAAGGCCCACCAAGGCGACGAUCAGUAGCUGGUCUGAGAGGACGAUCAGCCACACUGGGACUGAGACACGGCCCAGACUCCUACGGGAGGCAGCAGUGGGGAAUUUUGGACAAUGGGGCGGAAAAGCCCGU